Non-coding RNA from Xenopus laevis (African clawed frog), 126 nucleotides. The record is from Rfam. Lineage: Eukaryota; Metazoa; Chordata; Amphibia; Anura; Pipidae.
ACCAUCUUUGUCUUGGGGUGAGCUGCUGCUCAAUGAACGCAUAGUGAGAACAGCACUGCUAACAUCACAGACGACACAUACGUGCCACUAGUGUGCAAAUGCUAGAAUGGUACAAUUUUUGGAACC